GAUGAACGCUGACAGAAUGCUUAACACAUGCAAGUCAACUUGAACUUCGGUUUGGGUGGCGGACGGGUGAGUAACGCGUAAAGAACUUGCCUCACAGCUAGGGACAACAUUUGGAAACGAAUGCUAAUACCUGAUAUUAUGAUUAUAUGGCAUCGUAUAAUUAUGAAAGCUAUAUGCGCUGUGAGAGAGCUUUGCGUCCCAUUAGCUAGUUGGAGAGGUAACAGCUCACCAAGGCGAUGAUGGGUAGCCGGCCUGAGAGGGUGAUCGGCCACAAGGGGACUGAGACACGGCCCUUACUCCUACGGGAGGCAACAGUGGGGAAUAUUGGACAAUGGACCGAGAGUCUGAUCCAGCAAUUCUGUGUGCACGAUGAAGUUUUUCGGAAUGUAAAGUGCUUUCAGUUGGGAAGAAAAAAAUGACGGUAGCAACAGAAGAAGUGACGGCUAAAUACGUG
Molecule: ribosomal RNA, 454 nt
Filed under: uncultured bacterium
Lineage: Bacteria
Description: partial 16S ribosomal RNA
Rfam family: Bacterial small subunit ribosomal RNA
Source: RNAcentral